GGGCCAUUAGGUUGGUCGUGCCACCGGUACGUACUGGUCUCACUGAUUCCUCCUUCCUGAAGAACCGUAAUGCCAUUAAUUUGGUGUUGCGGGGAAACAGGACUGUUACUUUGAAAAAAUUAGAGUGUUUAAAGCAAGCUAACGCUUGAAUACAUUAGCAUGGAAUAAUGAAAUAGGACGAUCGAUCCUAUUUUGUUGGUUUCUAGGAUUGACGUA
This 216-nucleotide ribosomal RNA is filed under the name Glomeromycotina sp. Its description in RNAcentral is "partial small subunit ribosomal RNA". The stretch from base 40 to 216 matches the Rfam family "Eukaryotic small subunit ribosomal RNA", at positions 686 to 864 of the family's 1831-position model. Lineage: Eukaryota; Fungi; Glomeromycota. The record is from RNAcentral.